GGCUGUCCGCAGGCUACCUGCAGUCGAGCGGUAGCACAGAAGAUCUUGCUCUCGGGUGACGAGCGGCGGACGGGUGAGUAAUGUCUGGGAAACUGCCUGAUGGAGGGGGAUAUCUACUGGAAACGGUAGCUAAUACCGCAUAACGUCUUCAGACCAAAGAGGGGGACCUUCAGGCCUCUUGCCAUCAUAUGUGCCCAGAUGGGAUUAGCUAGUAGUUGAGGUAAGGGCUCACCUAGGCGACGAUCCCUAGCUGGUCUGAGAGGAUGACCAGCCACACUGGAACUGAGACACGGUCCACACUCCUACGAGGGGCAGCAGUGGGGAAUAUUGCACAAUGGGCGCAAGCCUGAUGCACCCAUGCCGCGUGUGUGAAGAAGGCCUUCGGGUUGUAAAGCACUUUCAGCGGGGAAGAAGGCGGAGAGAUUAAUACUCUCAUCUAUUGACGUUACCCGCAGAAGAAGCACCGGCUAACUCCGUGCCAGCACCCGCGGUAAUACGGAGGGUGCAAGCGUUAAUCGGAAUGACUGGGCGUAAAGCGCACGCAGGCGGUUUGUUAAGUCAGAUGUGAAAUCCCCGAGCUUAACUUGGGAACUGCAUUUGAAACUGGCAAGCUAGAGUCUUGUAGAGGGGGGUAGAAUUCCAGGUGUAGCGGUGAAAUGCGUAGAGAUCUGGAGGAAUACCGGUGGCGAAGGCGGCCCCCUGGACAAAGACUGACGCUCAGGUGCGAAAGCGUGGGGAGCAAACAGGAUUAGAUACCCUGGUAGUCCACGCUGUAAACGAUGUCGAUUUGGAGGUUGUGCCCUUGAGGCGUGGCUUCCGGAGCUAACGCGUUAAAUCGACCGCCUGGGGAGUACGGUCGCAAGGUUAAAACUCAAAUGAAUUGACGGGGGCCCGCACAA
This 899-nucleotide ribosomal RNA is filed under the name Pectobacterium carotovorum subsp. carotovorum. Its description in RNAcentral is "bacterial SSU rRNA". It matches the Rfam family "Bacterial small subunit ribosomal RNA", at positions 34 to 928 of the family's 1533-position model. The record is from RNAcentral. Lineage: Bacteria; Pseudomonadati; Pseudomonadota; Gammaproteobacteria; Enterobacterales; Pectobacteriaceae.